GAUAGGUAUAAAAAGUUAUUAGAUAAAUAUAGUGCCCUAAAAAAAGAAACUAAAAAAUAUAAAAAAAUAUUCCAUCUAGAUGCUGAAUCAUUAGUUGGUAAGAAUAUUAUCUAGAAUAAAAGAUAAAUAUUUUGGGGGUGUUAACUCGAAAUUGAUGUGGUGUAUAAGUAUUGUUGUGUGGUUUUGUAUUUUAGAUUUAGCUAGGGCAGGUUUUCUUUUCAUUAUAUAUCUCUUAUGUAAUUGUAAUACAUUUUAGUUUACUCAGUAAUAUUUGCUUAUAUUUUGGCAAUGGAUAUAUAUAAUGUUAAUUUGAUUAAUAUAUUUUUUUUGGCCA
RNAcentral lists this long non-coding RNA (334 nucleotides) under Elaeis guineensis (African oil palm). RNAcentral describes it as "long non-coding RNA (EGUI_LNC017410)". Lineage: Eukaryota; Viridiplantae; Streptophyta; Magnoliopsida; Arecales; Arecaceae. The record is from RNAcentral.